This 494-nucleotide ribosomal RNA is filed under the name uncultured bacterium. RNAcentral describes it as "partial 16S ribosomal RNA". It matches the Rfam family "Bacterial small subunit ribosomal RNA", at positions 28 to 507 of the family's 1533-position model. The record is from RNAcentral.
GACGAACGCUGGCGGCGCGCUUAACACAUGCAAGUCGAACGGAAAGGCCUGCUUUCCCUUGUGGAUUGCGGGUACUCGAGUGGCGAACGGGUGAGUAACACGUGAGUGAUCUGCCCCCAACUUGGGUAUAAGCCUGGGAAACUGGGUCUAAUUCCCGAUAGGACUGCAGGGUGGUGCCUGUGGUGGAAAACGAUUUUCUAGUGGUUGGGGAUGAGCUCGCGGCCUAUCAGCUUGUUGGUGGGGUAAUGGCCUACCAAGGCGGCGACGGGUAGCCGGCCUGGGAGGGUGGACGGCCACAUUGGGACUGGGAUACGGCCCAGACUCCUACGGGAGGCAGCAGUGGGGAAUAUGGCACAAUGGGCGGAAGCCUGAUGCAGCGACGCCGCGGGGGGGAUGACGGCCUUCGGGUUGUAAACUCCUUUCGACCGCGAGGAAGCCACCUGGUUGGAAGGGUGGUGACGGUAGUGGUAGAAGAAGCACCGGCUAACUACGUG